CCGUAGCUCAAUUGGACAGAGCAACGGACUUCUAAUCCGUAGGUUGCAGGUUCGAUUCCUGCCGG
This 65-nucleotide transfer RNA is filed under the name marine eukaryotic metagenome. It matches the Rfam family "tRNA", at positions 5 to 66 of the family's 71-position model. Rfam says of the family: Transfer RNA (tRNA) molecules are approximately 80 nucleotides in length. Their secondary structure includes four short double-helical elements and three loops (D, anti-codon, and T loops). Further hydrogen bonds mediate the characteristic L-shaped molecular structure. tRNAs have two regions of fundamental functional importance: the anti-codon, which is responsible for specific mRNA codon recognition, and the 3' end, to which the tRNAs corresponding amino acid is attached (by aminoacyl-tRNA synthetases). tRNAs cope with the degeneracy of the genetic code in two manners: having more than one tRNA (with a specific anti-codon) for a particular amino acid; and 'wobble' base-pairing, i.e. permitting non-standard base-pairing at the 3rd anti-codon position. The record is from RNAcentral.